CGAAGGUAUAUGACGUACAUAACAAUUUACUUGAAGAAUGAAGUGUAUCAUGUAUCUAACAUGUUGACAAAGUGAAUGUUUCUAGCACGUCUACACAAAUCAUUUUUCUUGUGAAAAAGAUAUUUUCAGCAUGUGAGGCAAGAGCAAAGAUGGCCAGAAGACAUUGCUCGAAUUUCCCAACCUAUAUAUGCCGACGUGAUACAACAAGCAAAUGGUUAUGACUGUGGCAUAUUCGUGACAGAAUUUGCGAGAAGAAUAUCAGAGGGGGGAGAAGUUGGUCCUGGAUUACUUGCCGAUAUCCAUGUAAAUAGUAAAAGACCAUACCUUAAAAAACUGAUUCGAAGCUUUGCCAUUUAGCGAAGCAAUUUGUAAUGAAGCAGAAUUUAAGUUUAAAGCUGGUGCAUAUGAAUAACAUUCUCUUAUAUUUAUAACAAGUGAUGUAAAUAAUUUUUUUACAAGUAACGACGUUACAUGUAAUUGUUACUUUUGCAGAAACUAUAUGGGUAACUAUGAAGUAAUAUUUUGUACAGAUAAAACUAUUCAUAAAAACAAGUUUAAAUUUUUCGAAAAACGAAACUAUAACGCGUUACUAAUGAAUAACGCGACUAAGAGUGAGAAAAUAGUGUUUGUAGGCUAUUUCUCUCUCAGGAUUGUAUUUAACAAUGCGUAACAUAUUCCUGUGACAAAUAUGAAGUUUUGUAAAAAGAAAAAAGUUAUCGUAUUCCAUGUAAGAAACCAUGGAGGCUUAAUACACGAAUUGCACUGUUCA
This is a long non-coding RNA of Xenia sp. Carnegie-2017, 769 nucleotides long. RefSeq lists it as uncharacterized. NCBI's taxonomy places the organism in Eukaryota, Metazoa, Cnidaria, Anthozoa, Malacalcyonacea, Xeniidae. The record is from RefSeq and is a predicted model, not a curated record. The transcript has 3 exons.